AACAACCCUUUUCCGCCAAUGUCUGCAAGAGGCUGACUUAAUAUCUUAUCACCUGUCGUCUUUAUUAUUACAAUUUGAAUGGCUCCCUCUUCAGCAAGGUCAGGAUAUGAGGCUAUUAGCUUCUCACGAGUCUCAUAAGCUUGGGCAAGAGCUAGGGGGCUGUCCUACACAAGUGCGUACAUCUGCUGCAGUUAAAGAAAUGAAUACAUCCCUCACAUCUUCACGUGGAAGGUUGCACGGUAAAAUUGUCUUCUCUGGCAGAUAUGUGGGCACAUCUUUCAUUGAGUGGACAGCAAUAUCAAUUUCCCCAUUGAUGAGAGCUUCAUCUAUUUCUUUUGUGAACAACCCUUUUCCGCCAAUGUCUGCAAGAGGCUGACUUAAUAUCUUAUCACCUGUCGUCUUUAUUAUUACAAUUUGAAUGGCUCCCUCUUCAGCAAGGUCAGGAUAUGAGGCUAUUAGCUUCUCACGAGUCUCAUAAGCUUGGGCAAGAGCUAGGGGGCUGUCCUACACAAGUAGGUACAUAAUCCAUAAGAGAAGAGUUUUACCAAUAACACAUCAGAGAUAUAGCAGUUCAUUUUUAUCCUCCUACCUCCCAGCCACACACAGAAAGCAGGGAAAAGAACAAAGUGUUAAUCCGAUGCAAUGCUGAGACUUAAACAGUACUCUUCAGCUCUUAAACAUUCUGUGGUUGUUUUCACAUAUGUUAAGGGAUCAAGUAAGAGUACUCUUAAACAUUCUGUGGUUGUUUUCACAUAUGUUCAGGGAUCAAGUAGAAAAGCACGAGAGAUUUUAGUCCAUCAGACAAAGAAAAAGAUUGGCAAAAGGGUAGGAUCUACUAGCAUUACUCAUAUUCUAAUAGGC
RNAcentral lists this long non-coding RNA (861 nucleotides) under Nicotiana benthamiana. Its description in RNAcentral is "long non-coding RNA (NBEN_LNC021584)". The record is from RNAcentral. Lineage: Eukaryota; Viridiplantae; Streptophyta; Magnoliopsida; Solanales; Solanaceae.